Molecule: RNA transcript, 1915 nt
Organism: Nicotiana tabacum (common tobacco)
Lineage: Eukaryota; Viridiplantae; Streptophyta; Magnoliopsida; Solanales; Solanaceae
Gene name: TGACG-sequence-specific DNA-binding protein TGA-1A-like
Source: RefSeq, a predicted model, not a curated record
UGUACACACACUAACCCCUCCCGCAACCCCUUAUGUAGCUUAAUAUAUAUGUAUAUACAAGCUUAUAUAUGUAUAUAAUGUAUGUAUAUAAGUUGAUGUUGCACUUGCACACCCUUGAUUUUUUUGGCUAUAUACAGAAUUGUAAAUAGUUUUAGGAUUUAUGUUUCAUUGGAUUUGAUUCUAAUGGAAUUUUGAUAAGACUUUGGCUUUUUUCAUAUUCUAUUCUUCUUCUUCAAACAAAAGCUAUUGGGAGGAGAUUGGAUUUUCAGUUUGUGAUGUUUAGAGAGCUGAGAAAUUGAGCGGGAAAAGUUCUUCAAGAUUUUGCCGUUGGCUUUAAAGUCCAUACACAAUGAAUUCUUCAACAUACACCCAUUUCGUCGCCUCAAGAAGGAUGGGUAUAUGCGAUUCGAUCCAUCAACUUGGAAUGUGGGAUGAUUUCAAUGGUAGUUUCCCAAGUACAUCGGCAACCAUGAUUUUAGAAGUUGAUAAAUGCCUAGAGGACCAGAUACCACUUAUGGAGAAAAGACUAGAAAACGAGACAGAAGACACUUCGCAUGGAACAGUAGGGACUUCUAACAGAUAUGAACCAGAAACAAGUAAACCCGUCGAGAAGGUACUUAGACGUCUUGCACAAAACCGUGAGGCUGCUCGUAAAAGCCGUUUGAGGAAGAAGGCCUAUGUUCAGCAGUUAGAAAAUAGUAAAUUGAAGCUGAUUCAAUUGGAACAAGAAUUAGAACGUGCCAGAAAACAGGGUCUGUAUGCAGGUGGUGGUUUAGAUGCUAGCCAGCUAAGUUACUCUGUAACCGCUAGCUCAGGAACUGCUGCAUUUGAUAUGGAGUAUGGUCACUGGGUGGAAGAGCAAACUAGACAAACAAAUGAGCUAAGGAGUGCUUUGCAUUCUCAAAUUGGUGAAGCGGAAUUACGCAUUAUUGUUGAUGGUUAUCUGAGCCACUACUUUGAUCUCUUUCGCAUGAAAGCUACAGCUGCUAAAGCUGAUGUCCUCUAUAUCAUGUCUGGCAUGUGGAAGACAUCAGCUGAGCGCUUUUUCAUGUGGAUUGGGGGGUUUCGGCCAUCCGAGCUUCUAAAGGUUCUCACACCACAUCUUGAGCUGUUGACAGAACAACAACUUCGGGAGGUUUGUAACCUGACACAAUCAUGUCAGCAAGCAGAAGACGCCUUGUCACAAGGAAUGGUAAAACUCCACCAGAUUCUUGCCGAGGCUGUUGCAGCUGGCCGAUUAGGCGAAGGAAAUUACACUCUUCCACAAAUGGGGCCUGCCAUCGAAAAGUUGGAAGCUCUUGUUAGGUUCGUAAAUCAGGCGGAUCAUCUACGCCAAGAAACUCUCCAACAGAUGUCCCGCAUCCUUAAUACGUACCAAGCAGCUCAGGGCUUGCUUGCCUUGGGGGAGUACUUUGAACGACUUCGUGUUUUAAGCUCACAAUGGGCUACUCGUCUACGUGAACCUACCUAAUGAAGCACAAGAAGAUCUCCUGUAUAUUAUUCGAGGAGUUUUGCCUUCAGAAGUCGAUGCUGUGUAAGCUAAAUCUGCCACUUGUUUAUGUCAAUAAAACUCUCAACAUGAACAUAGAACAUUAUAUCAGGCUGUGGACCAGAAGACUGUUGCUCACUUGGUAUCUAAACCUAUAUAAUCAGUGGGCGAGCCACAUAGGCUCAAGGGCAAAUGCAAAUUCAGGAUUCGAAUGUUAUGGGUUCGGGUUUGACAUUUAUUAUUUGUACUUAUUUACUGGAUUUUAAACACAUAGACAUGAUUCGAACCAAUGUUACUAGGUUUGGAUGAACCCAGAAGUUAUACUAGAUCUACUUCUGCUCAAGGGUGGUCAGUUUAUACUGUAUAUAUAUUAUGCGUUGAAUCUUGAGCGUCUUUAAUGAAAUUCUUGGCUUCGCCAUUGAGCUA